RNAcentral lists this transfer RNA (88 nucleotides) under Actinoplanes italicus. RNAcentral's name for it is "tRNA-Thr". The record is from RNAcentral. Lineage: Bacteria; Bacillati; Actinomycetota; Actinomycetes; Micromonosporales; Micromonosporaceae.
GCGGGUUGGGCGAGCGGCGCAGCUUGCCGGUGGUGACGGCCCGGAACGGGAUGCCGUUACGCUCGGCGAUCUUGGCCUCGAGCCCGUC